UACGGAGGAGGCAAGCGUUAUCCGGAAUUAUUGGGCGUAAAGCGUCCGUAGGUGGGUGAGGAAGUCUGCUGUUAAGGAGUGAGGCUUAACCUCAUAAGGGCAGUGGAAACUCUUCGUCUAGAGUGCGACAGGGGCAAGGGGAAUUCCUAGUGUAGCGGUGAAAUGCGUAGAGAUUAGGAAGAACACCGGUGGCGAAAGCGCCUUGCUGGGUCUGCACUGACACUGAGGGACGAAAGCUAGGGGAGCGAAAGGG
Molecule: ribosomal RNA, 253 nt
Filed under: uncultured bacterium
Lineage: Bacteria
Description: partial 16S ribosomal RNA
Rfam family: Bacterial small subunit ribosomal RNA
Source: RNAcentral